RNAcentral lists this non-coding RNA (84 nucleotides) under Geosporobacter subterraneus. Its description in RNAcentral is "c-di-GMP sequence". It matches the Rfam family "c-di-GMP-I riboswitch aptamer". From Rfam's summary of the family: GEMM was predicted in a large-scale screen for bacterial structured RNA regulatory elements. Genes associated with GEMM are involved in a diverse array of functions, including chemotaxis regulation, signal transduction, secretion and chitin. Lineage: Bacteria; Bacillati; Bacillota; Clostridia; Peptostreptococcales; Thermotaleaceae. The record is from RNAcentral. RNAcentral also lists the same sequence under 1 other name.
CAUUGGAAAAGGCAAACUUAUUGAAAAAUAAGGACGCAAAGCCACGGGUCUAAAGUACUGUACUAUGAUCGCCGGGUUUCCGUA